UUAAGCGACUAAGCGUACACGGUGGAUGCCCUGGCAGUCAGAGGCGAUGAAGGGCGUGCUAAUCUGCGAUAAGCGCCGGUAAGGUGAUAUGAACCGUUAUAACCGGCGAUACCCGAAUGGGGAAACCCAGUGUGAUUCGUCACACUAUCAUUAACUGAAUCCAUAGGUUAAUGAGGCGAACCGGGGGAACUGAAACAUCUAAGUACCCCGAGGAAAAGAAAUCAACCGAGAUUCCCCCAGUAGCGGCGAGCGAACGGGGAGGAGCCCAGAGCCUGAAUCAGCAUGUGUGUUAGUGGAAGCGUCUGGAAAGGCGCGCGAUACAGGGUGACAGCCCCGUACACAAAAGCGCAUGUGCUGUGAGCUCGAUGAGUAGGGCGGGACACGUGGUAUCCUGUCUGAAUAUGGGGGGACCAUCCUCCAAGGCUAAAUACUCCUGACUGACCGAUAGUGAACCAGUACCGUGAGGGAAAGGCGAAAAGAACCCCGGCGAGGGGAGUGAAAAAGAACCUGAAACCGUGUACGUACAAGCAGUGGGAGCACAGGUUUACCUGUGUGACUGCGUACCUUUUGUAUAAUGGGUCAGCGACUUAUAUUCUGUAGCAAGGUUAACCGAAUAGGGGAGCCGCAGGGAAACCGAGUCUUAAUUGGGCGUUAAGUUGCAGGGUAUAGACCCGAAACCCGGUGAUCUAGCCAUGGGCAGGUUGAAGGUUGGGUAACACUAACUGGAGGACCGAACCGACUAAUGUUGAAAAAUUAGCGGAUGACCUGUGGCUGGGGGUGAAAGGCCAAUCAAACCGGGAGAUAGCUGGUUCUCCCCGAAAGCUAUUUAGGUAGCGCCUCGUGAAUUCAUCUCCGGGGGUAGAGCACUGUUUCGGCUAGGGGGCCAUCCCGGCUUACCAACCCGAUGCAAACUGCGAAUACCGGAGAAUGUUAUCACGGGAGACACACGGCGGGUGCUAACGUCCGUCGUGAAGAGGGAAACAACCCAGACCGCCAGCUAAGGUCCCAAAGUCAUGGUUAAGUGGGAAACGAUGUGGGAAGGCCCAGACAGCCAGGAUGUUGGCUUAGAAGCAGCCAUCAUUUAAAGAAAGCGUAAUAGCUCACUGGUCGAGUCGGCCUGCGCGGAAGAUGUAACGGGGCUAAACCAUGCACCGAAGCUGCGGCAGCGACGCUGAUGCGUUGUUGGGUAGGGGAGCGUUCUGUAAGCCUGUGAAGGUGUGUCGUGAGGCAUGCUGGAGGUAUCAGAAGUGCGAAUGCUGACAUAAGUAACGAUAAAGCGGGUGAAAAGCCCGCUCGCCGGAAGACCAAGGGUUCCUGUCCAACGUUAAUCGGGGCAGGGUGAGUCGACCAGCCUAAGGCGAGGCCGAAAGGCGUAGUCGAUGGGAAACGGGUUAAUAUUCCCGUACUUGGUGUUACUGCGAAGGGGGGACGGAGAAGGCUAUGUUGGCCGGGCGACGGUUGUCCCGGUUUAAGCGUGUAGGUGUGUGUUCCAGGUAAAUCCGGUUCACUUUAACACUGAGGCGUGAUGACGAGGCACUACGGUGCUGAAGCAACAAAUGCCCUGCUUCCAGGAAAAGCCUCUAAGCAUCAGGUAACAUCAAAUCGUACCCCAAACCGACACAGGUGGUCAGGUAGAGAAUACCAAGGCGCUUGAGAGAACUCGGGUGAAGGAACUAGGCAAAAUGGUGCCGUAACUUCGGGAGAAGGCACGCUGACACGUAGGUGAAGUGAUUUACUCACGGAGCUGAAGUCAGUCGAAGAUACCAGCUGGCUGCAACUGUUUAUUAAAAACACAGCACUGUGCAAACACGAAAGUGGACGUAUACGGUGUGACGCCUGCCCGGUGCCGGAAGGUUAAUUGAUGGGGUCAGCGCAAGCGAAGCUCCUGAUCGAAGCCCCGGUAAACGGCGGCCGUAACUAUAACGGUCCUAAGGUAGCGAAAUUCCUUGUCGGGUAAGUUCCGACCUGCACGAAUGGCGUAAUGAUGGCCAGGCUGUCUCCACCCGAGACUCAGUGAAAUUGAACUCGCUGUGAAGAUGCAGUGUACCCGCGGCAAGACGGAAAGACCCCGUGAACCUUUACUAUAGCUUGACACUGAACAUUGAGCCUUGAUGUGUAGGAUAGGUGGGAGGCUUUGAAGUGUGGACGCCAGUCUGCAUGGAGCCGACCUUGAAAUACCACCCUUUAAUGUUUGAUGUUCUAACGUGGACCCGUAAUCCGGGUUGCGGACAGUGUCUGGUGGGUAGUUUGACUGGGGCGGUCUCCUCCUAAAGAGUAACGGAGGAGCACGAAGGUUGGCUAAUCCUGGUCGGACAUCAGGAGGUUAGUGCAAUGGCAUAAGCCAGCUUGACUGCGAGCGUGACGGCGCGAGCAGGUGCGAAAGCAGGUCAUAGUGAUCCGGUGGUUCUGAAUGGAAGGGCCAUCGCUCAACGGAUAAAAGGUACUCCGGGGAUAACAGGCUGAUACCGCCCAAGAGUUCAUAUCGACGGCGGUGUUUGGCACCUCGAUGUCGGCUCAUCACAUCCUGGGGCUGAAGUAGGUCCCAAGGGUAUGGCUGUUCGCCAUUUAAAGUGGUACGCGAGCUGGGUUUAGAACGUCGUGAGACAGUUCGGUCCCUAUCUGCCGUGGGCGCUGGAGAACUGAGGGGGGCUGCUCCUAGUACGAGAGGACCGGAGUGGACGCAUCACUGGUGUUCGGGUUGUCAUGCCAAUGGCACUGCCCGGUAGCUAAAUGCGGAAGAGAUAAGUGCUGAAAGCAUCUAAGCACGAAACUUGCCCCGAGAUGAGUUCUCCCUGAGACUUAGAGUCUCCUGAAGGAACGUUGAAGACGACGACGUUGAUAGGCCGGGUGUGUAAGCGCAGCGAUGCGUUGAGCUAACCGGUACUAAUGAACCGUGAGGCUUAACCUU
This 2908-nucleotide ribosomal RNA is filed under the name Salmonella enterica subsp. enterica serovar Inverness. RNAcentral's name for it is "bacterial LSU rRNA". It matches the Rfam family "Bacterial large subunit ribosomal RNA". The record is from RNAcentral. Lineage: Bacteria; Pseudomonadati; Pseudomonadota; Gammaproteobacteria; Enterobacterales; Enterobacteriaceae.